AUGUUGAAAAUGAGAACAACAGAGAAGCCAUUAAACGACAGGCUAUUUCUGAGGUCGCUUUGGACAUGGGUCAGCAAUGAGAGGCGUUGCAACCCAACCCCCUCUUUAAAGCCAGUGUUAAAGGAUCCGAAGAUGGGAAUGAAAACGUCCCUGUUUCUUCAUCGUUUAGGCCUGAUAGAAUUAUUUCAACAAAAUGUUAAGGAAGAACUGAAGGCUGUGCUUCUAAUAGCUGAAUCUACCAUGGUGCUUCAAUCUGAUUGGCCAGAGAGGGA
Molecule: long non-coding RNA, 272 nt
Filed under: Sinocyclocheilus anshuiensis
Lineage: Eukaryota; Metazoa; Chordata; Actinopteri; Cypriniformes; Cyprinidae
Description: lncRNA (ENSSANG00000006357.1)
Source: RNAcentral